GAAAUGCGAUACGUAAUGUGAAUUGCAGACCGUGAAUCAUCUAAUCUUUGAACGCAUAUUGCGCUCCCUGGUAUUCCGGGGAGCAUGCCUGUUUGAGAAUCGAUAGACCUCAUCACCCCUUUGGGACUCAUCAUUGAUGAUAUCAUUGGAGUGGAUUUGGGCUCUUGUAGUCAAUACAAAGCCUUGAAGCUAGCGUUGACCUUGGCAGUUAUUGUUAUUAGGAACGUGUUUAUUUGAAUUUAUUCAUUACUUGCGGUUCUUUUAACGUCGGUGACUAUCAAGGGCGAUUCAAACAAACCUUAAUUGGACCAUACACUUUACCGUGUUAACUUGGUCUCAAAUCAGGCAAGAGUACCCGCUGAACUUAA
Molecule: unclassified non-coding RNA, 368 nt
Filed under: uncultured fungus
Lineage: Eukaryota; Fungi
Description: sequence contains ITS1
Rfam family: 5.8S ribosomal RNA (bases 1-102)
Source: RNAcentral